GACGAACGCUGGCGGCAUGCCUAACACAUGCAAGUAGAACGGAGAUUAUUUCGAUAAUCUUAGUGGCGAACGGGGGAGUAACGCGUGGGCAACCUGCCCUCUAGAUGGGGACAACAUCCCGAAAGGGGUGCUAAUACCGAAUGUAACAGCAAUCUCGCAUGAGGAUGCUGUGAAAGAUGGCCUGUAUAUAAAAGCCAUCGAUAGAGGAUUGGCCCGCAUCUGAUUAGCUAGUUGGUGGGGUAACGGCCUACCAAGGCGAUGAUCAGUAGCCGGGCUGAGAGGAUUAACGGCCACAUUGGGACUGAGACACGGCCCAGACUCCUACGGGAGGCAGCAGUGGGGAAUCUUCCGCAAUGGGCGAAAGCCUGACGGAGCAAUGCCGCGUGAGUGAUGAAGGAAUUCGUUCCGUAAAGCUCUUUUGUUUAUGACGAAUGUGCAAGUUGUGAAUAAUGACUUGUAAUGACGGUAGUAAACGAAUAAGCCACGGCUAACUACGUGCCAGCCGCCGCUGUAA
Molecule: ribosomal RNA, 514 nt
Filed under: uncultured bacterium
Lineage: Bacteria
Description: partial 16S ribosomal RNA
Rfam family: Bacterial small subunit ribosomal RNA
Source: RNAcentral